UACGGGGGGGGCAAGCGUUGUUCGGAAUUACUGGGCGUAAAGGGCGCGUAGGCGGCCUGCUAAGUCGGACGUGAAAUCCCUCGGCUCAACCGGGGAACUGCGUCCGAUACUGGCGAGGCUUGAAUCCGGGAGAGGGAUGUGGAAUUCCAGGUGUAGCGGUGAAAUGCGUAGAUAUCGGGAGGAACAUCAGUGGCGAAGGCGGCCUUCUGGUCCAGUACUGACACUCAAGUGCGAAAGCGUGGGGAGCAAACAGG
RNAcentral lists this ribosomal RNA (254 nucleotides) under uncultured bacterium. RNAcentral's name for it is "partial 16S ribosomal RNA". It matches the Rfam family "Bacterial small subunit ribosomal RNA", at positions 524 to 776 of the family's 1533-position model. The record is from RNAcentral.